GAUUGAACGCUGGCGGUAUGCUUAACACAUGCAAGUCGAACGGAAACGAUACUAGCUUGCUAGUAGGCGUCGAGUGGCGGACGGGUGAGUAACGCGUAGGAAUCUGCCUGAUAGUGGGGGAUAGCCCGAAGAAAUUCGGAUUAAUACCGCAUAAUCUAUUCGUAGUAAAGUGGGGGACUUUCGAGCCUCACGCUAUCAGAUGAGCCUGCGUAAGAUUAGCUUGUUGGUAGGGUAAAAGCCUACCAAGGCGACGAUCUUUAGCUGGUCUGAGAGGAUGAUCAGCCACAUCGGGACUGAGACACGGCCCGAACUCCUACGGGAGGCAGCAGUGGGGAAUAUUGGACAAUGGGGGCAACCCUGAUCCAGCAAUACCGCGUGUGUGAAGAAGGCCUGAGGGUUGUAAAGCACUUUCAAUUGUGAAGAAAAGUUAGCGGUUAAUAACCGUUAGCCUUGACGUUAACUUUAGAAGAAGCACCGGCUAACUCCGUGCCAGCAGCCGCGGUAAUACGGAGGGUGCAAGCGUUAAUCGGAAUUACUGGGCGUAAAGCGUGCGUAGGCGGUUUAUUAAGUCAGAUGUGAAAGCCCCGGGCUUAACCUGGGAACUGCAUUUGAAACUGGUCAACUAGAGUAUGGUAGAGGAAAAGUGGAAUUUCUGGUGUAGCGGUGAAAUGCGUAGAUAUCAGAAAGGAACAUCAAUGGCGAAGGCAGCUUUCUGGACCAAUACUGACGCUGAGGUACGAAAGCGUGGGUAGCAAACAGGAUUAGAUACCCUGGUAGUCCACGCCGUAAACGAUGAUAACUAGCCGUUGGGGGGAUUUACCCUUUAGUGGCGAAGCUAACGCGUUAAGUUAUCCGCCUGGGGAGUACGGCCGCAAGGUUAAAACUCAAAGGAAUUGACGGGGACCCGCACAAGCGGUGGAGCAUGUGGUUUAAUUCGAUGCAACGCGAAGAACCUUACCUGGUCUUGACAUCCUGCGAACUUUCUAGAAAUAGAUUGGUGCCUUCGGGAACGCAGUGACAGGUGCUGCAUGGCUGUCGUCAGCUCGUGUCGUGAGAUGUUGGGUUAAGUCCCGUAACGAGCGCAACCCCUAUCCUUAUUUGCCAGCACAUCAUGGUGGGAACUAUAAGGAGACUGCCGGUGAUAAACCGGAGGAAGGCGGGGACGACGUCAAGUCAUCAUGGCCCUUACGACCAGGGCUACACACGUGCUACAAUGGGAAGGACAAAGAGCCGCGAAGCCGCGAGGUGUAGCUAAUCUCAUAAACCUUUUCGUAGUCCGGAUUGGAGUCCGCAACUCGACUCCAUGAAGUCGGAAUCGCUAGUAAUCGUAGAUCAGAAUGCUCACGGUGAAUACGUUCCCGGGUCUUGUACACACCGCC
RNAcentral lists this ribosomal RNA (1379 nucleotides) under uncultured bacterium. Its description in RNAcentral is "bacterial SSU rRNA". It matches the Rfam family "Bacterial small subunit ribosomal RNA", at positions 27 to 1394 of the family's 1533-position model. The record is from RNAcentral.